RNAcentral lists this ribosomal RNA (492 nucleotides) under uncultured bacterium. RNAcentral's name for it is "partial 16S ribosomal RNA". It matches the Rfam family "Bacterial small subunit ribosomal RNA", at positions 29 to 507 of the family's 1533-position model. The record is from RNAcentral.
AGUGAGCGCUGGCGGUAGGCCUAACACAUGCAAGUCGAACGGCAGCACAGUAAGAGCUUGCUCUUACGGGUGGCGAGUGGCGGACGGGUGAGGAAUACAUCGGAAUCUACUUUUUCGUGGGGGAUAACGUAGGGAAACUUACGCUAAUACCGCAUACGACCUACGGGUGAAAGCAGGGGAUCUUCGGACCUUGCGCGAUUGAAUGAGCCGAUGUCGGAUUAGCUAGUUGGCGGGGUAAAGGCCCACCAAGGCGACGAUCCGUAGCUGGUCUGAGAGGAUGAUCAGCUACACUGGAACUGAGACACGGUCCAGACUCCUACGGGAGGCAGCAGUGGGGAAUAUUGGACAAUGGGCGCAAGCCUGAUCCAGCCAUACCGCGUGGGUGAAGAAGGCCUUCGGGUUGUAAAGCCCUUUUGUUGGGAAAGAAAAGCAGCAGGUUAAUACCCCGCUGUUCUGACGGUACCCAAAGAAUAAGCACCGGCUAACUUCGUG